AUUUCAUCUUUGAUAAAAGGAAAGUUGUUGGAAAAGCUGCUGCUUCCUAUUAUAACGAUUUUUUUUUUCGUCCUUAAAUAAAUUUGUUUGUUCCGAGUUUGAUUUAUUUAGACGUGAUAUAGUUGACAAAAGUAAAAGUAUGGGUUGACUUGAAUAUUAACCUUUCCAAUCCACUUCCUUGAAGUGAUGUGAUUAGUAUAAAAGUCUUAUUAUAUAUUGAUGAUUAAAGAACUAUUUUUUAGAGAUGAAUAUCAGAUUUAUUUAGGAUUUAUCUAUUGAUUUAAGCAAGUUAUCCUGUUGUUAUAAUAGCCCUUGAUAAAUCACGAUCGAGAGAGCUAGACGAUAAUCUCAAACGAAUGUUGUGAAUUCCUUGACUCCAGGGUUCUUUCAUGGCUUCAAUGCUACUAUGUUUGCUUUCGGGGCUACUGGUAGUGGAAAAGCUUAUAACAUAUGCAGGCCUUGGCCAAGUCCAUUCUGUGAAUGGUUAAAAUGCCUUAGGCCUUGUGCACAAGUUUGUCUAUAUGCCAAAGUAGAGGUUUCAGAGCUGAGAUUUUCAUAGUUUGAGGUAUGUUAAACGUGAUGUAACAAAAGGAAUUUCGAUAUUUGAUGACAAAUAUGGGGAGAUUGAAGCGACUAAUUAAGGAGCAGAUCUAUUUUUCCAUGUAUAGAAUUCAUGUUUGGGGAAUUGUGAGAGGAAGGCAUGGACCCAUGGUGGUUGCAGUUUACAGAGUUAGUAAUGAUGGUUGUGGGGUUGUGUUUGAUGGGAAAACUGAACCUCAUAGACUACCAGGUUGUUGAUUUCUGCAGAUUUUGAAUCAUUAAUUUGCAGGUAAUGAAGGCAUUGGUCUCCAAGAGGGUGCUAAGAUAGUAAACCAAUGCUUAUUUCCUUUGUCAAAUGUAACUUACAUAACACCAAAUCUGAAGUACCUUGAUGGUUGCUUGAUCAUUUUGUGACUCUCUUUUUUUACCCAAUAUUGAGAUUUUAUUCAAUGUUCACUUUGUUCCAUGAACAGAAUCCUAGAGAGCACCAAGAAUCUCUUCACAUUGUUAAUUAAACUUGGCUGCUCAUAUUUUAAUGUUGUUUCUUCCAUCAUCUCAAAAGCUAGAAACUUUAUAUGAAAGCAAAACUGCAAGCGUGGCAAUCCCAAAUUAAGAGUGAAGAAAGAAUGGGACGACCAUUUAUGAAAUCGAAAAUUCUGCAAAAGACAGGUGGCGGUAGACCUGAGAAGGAAAAACAAACGCCCACCGUGGGGCUCGAACCCACGACCACAAGGUUAAGAGCCUUGCGCUCUACCGACUGAGCUAGACGGGCUUUGCUUGUGAUGCACUUCUACAGCCCAAUACUUAUCCCGUUUAGUUACCAUGAAAAGGAGCCAUACAAUAAGGAGAGCUAAAAACCUAUAUAAAUUAAUGCAUGUAAAUCAACCAUGAGGUAUGAUAUAGUGUUUUCUUAUCUCAUAUCUUAACAAUAUGAUCGGAGGUUCAAUCUUACUCAUGGAAAAAGAGCACAUUUCAUGGUC
This is a long non-coding RNA of Gossypium raimondii (Peruvian cotton), 1520 nucleotides long. RefSeq lists it as uncharacterized. Lineage: Eukaryota; Viridiplantae; Streptophyta; Magnoliopsida; Malvales; Malvaceae. The transcript has 3 exons. The record is from RefSeq and is a predicted model, not a curated record.